RNAcentral lists this ribosomal RNA (647 nucleotides) under uncultured delta proteobacterium DSS20. Its description in RNAcentral is "bacterial SSU rRNA". It matches the Rfam family "Bacterial small subunit ribosomal RNA", at positions 35 to 654 of the family's 1533-position model. Lineage: Bacteria; Deltaproteobacteria. The record is from RNAcentral.
GCUGGCGGCGUGCUUAACACAUGCAAGUCGUACGAGAAAGCUUCAGCUUGCUGGAGCGAGUAAAGUGGCGCACGGGUGAGUAACGCGUAGGUAAUCUACCCCUGAAUUUGGGAUAACAUUGCGAAAGUGAUGCUAAUACCGGAUGACAUCUAUUUUACUGCGGUGAAAGAGAUCAAAGAUGGCCUCUAUGUAUAAGCUAUCGUUUGGGGAUGAGCCUGCGUACCAUUAGCUAGUUGGUGGGAUAAAGGCCCACCAAGGCGACGAUGGUUAGCUGGUCUGAGAGGAUGAUCAGUCACACUGGAACUGGAACACGGUCCAGACUCCUACGGGAGGCAGCAGUGAGGAAUUUUGCGCAAUGGGGGCAACCCUGACGCAGCGACGCCGCGUGAGUGAAGAAGGUUUUCGGAUCGUAAAGCUCUGUCGAGUGGGAAGAAGAUAAAUCAGGUUAAUACCCUGGGUUGUUGACGGUACCACAGAAGGAAGCACCGGCUAACUCCGUGCCAGCAGCCGCGGUAAUACGGAGGGUGCUAGCGUUAUUCGGAAUUAUUGGGCGUAAAGGGCGUGUAGGCGGUCCUAUAAGUCAGAUGUGAAAUCCCGGGGCUCAACCCCGGAACUGCAUUUGAAACUGUAGGACUUGAGUAUGGGAG